Molecule: long non-coding RNA, 317 nt
Organism: Etheostoma spectabile (orangethroat darter)
Lineage: Eukaryota; Metazoa; Chordata; Actinopteri; Perciformes; Percidae
Exons: 3
Source: RefSeq, a predicted model, not a curated record
AACUUAUGUGAAGGCAAAAGCUUGGCUUUCCCCUCUUUCAAUUGCAUUGCUCCGUGUCUGAGAAUAUAAUCAUACAUCGCUGAGGGCAAGAUUGUAUGAUAUAGCAAUUUAAUUUAACUUUAGUAAUGAUUGAAGUAUUAUCGUAACAAUGCAGCCACCACAACUAAAAAGAAAGAAAAAAAGAAAGAAAGAAACCUUUAUUUAGGCACUUUCACCAGAGGGGCAGAUAAGCCAAUCAGGGCAAAUGGGCAGUUGCCAGGGCAACAAUAGCCCGUACCUGUGCAUGUCCCUGUUUCCAGCACAGGACUUCCAGGCCA